Molecule: transfer RNA, 70 nt
Filed under: Dipodomys ordii (Ord's kangaroo rat)
Lineage: Eukaryota; Metazoa; Chordata; Mammalia; Rodentia; Heteromyidae
Rfam family: tRNA
About the family: Transfer RNA (tRNA) molecules are approximately 80 nucleotides in length. Their secondary structure includes four short double-helical elements and three loops (D, anti-codon, and T loops).
Source: Rfam by way of RNAcentral
GGUGGCUCAGUGGAGUGGUAGAGCACUUGCCUUGCAUGCAUGAGGCCCUGGGUUCGAUUCCUCAGCACCA